AAGUCGUAACAAGGUUUCCGUAGGUGAACCUGCGGAAGGAUCAUUAUUGAAUAAGCUUGAACAGGCUGUUUUGCUGGCCCUCUGGGGCAAGUGCACGCUUGUCAUCUUUAUUUCUCCCCCAACUGUGCACAUAUUGUAGACCCUGGAUUGAGGAUUGCACCGUGUGCUUUCCUUGCAUUUUUUCCAGGUUCUAUGUUGUUUUACAAUUUCAGAAUGUUGUCAGAAGGUUGGAUUGGAAAUAAUAAAAAUACAACUUUCAGCAAUGGAUCUCUUGGCUCUCGCAUCGAUGAAGAACGCAGCGAAAUGCGAUAAGUAAUGUGAAUUGCAGAAUUCAGUGAAUCAUCGAAUCUUUGAACGCAUCUUGCGCUCCUUGGUAUUCUGAGGAGCAUGCCUGUUUGAGUGUCAUCAAAUUCUCAACCACAACCAAUUCUUCUUUUGGGUGUGGCUUUGGAUAUGGGGGAUUUCUUCUUUGCAGGCUUCUGAAAAAUAAAGUCGGCUCCCCUGAAAUGUAUUAGUGGUAUCUGAGCAGGAGACUACUAUGGUGUGAUAAAUCUAUCUAUGCCUUGGUACAACUGCUAUGCCGCUUCUAGCGAGUGCAUUUGACAAAUUUGACCUCAAAUCAGGUAGGACUACCCGCUGAACUUAAGCAUAUCAAUAAGCGGAGGAAAAGAAACUAACAAGGAUUCCCCUAGUAACUGCGAGUGAAGCGGGAAGAGCUCAAAUUUGAAAUCUGGCAGUUUCUCUACUGUCCGAGUUGUAGUCUAGAGAAGUGUUUACCUGUGCUGGACCGUGUACAAGUCUUCUGGAAUGGAGCAUCAUAGAGGGUGAGAAUCCCGUCUUUGACAUGGACUACCUGUACAUUAUGGGUGCGCUCUCGAAGAGUCGAGUUGUUUGGGAAUGCAGCUCAAAAUGGGUGGUAAAUGCCAUCUAAAGCUAAAUAUUGGCGAGAGACCGAUAGCGAACAAGUACCGUGAGGGAAAGAUGAAAAGAACUUUGGAAAGAGAGUUAAACAGUACGUGAAAUUGCUGAAAGGGAAACGCUUGAAGUCAGUCACGUUGGCUGGAAAUCAGCCUUGCUUUUGCUUGGUGUAUUUUCUGGUUGAUGGGUCAGCAUCAAUUCUGAUCACUGGAUAAAGUCUCUUGGGAAUGUGGCAUCUUUUGGAUGUGUUAUAGCCCAUGGUCGCAUACGGUGGUUGGGAUUGAGGAACUCAGCACGCCGCAAGGCCGGGUUUCGACCACGAUUUCGUGCUUAGGAUGCUGGCAUAAUGGCUUUAAUCGACC
This 1280-nucleotide ribosomal RNA is filed under the name uncultured fungus. RNAcentral describes it as "eukaryotic LSU rRNA". The stretch from base 610 to 1280 matches the Rfam family "Eukaryotic large subunit ribosomal RNA", at positions 1 to 649 of the family's 3401-position model. The record is from RNAcentral. Lineage: Eukaryota; Fungi.